ACUCCCACUGCUUCACUUAACUAACCCUGUGUACGUGGAAGAAUGUGCCUUACUAAGCCCCUGCUGUAAAUCAUUAUAGACCUAUGUCAUUGUAGAAGGUAUAUUAGACUAUGGAAAAUAAACCUCGGCGCCUCGGGCUGUUUGCUAGGGGUCCCCUGUGCCUCGCUAUACUGUCGUCUCUUUUUCUCAGUUCCUUUGCCGCCCCAGGUCCCUGACUCUCAGAGGUUGACAAGUGGCACCCGAACAGGGACCUGAAGCCCCCGUCAAGGAGUGAUCGGCCAGCAAUAGGAACCCUACAGAAGGUGAUGGAUCCAGUGGAGCAAUUUGGAUACCUCUUCGGAAAGUCCGGCCCAGGACCGGAGAUAAAGACAACAGAAGAGGUCUCUCAGCUGCUGCAGGGAUUGACUACCCAGCCCCCUGUCCGAGAGAUGGCAGCACUCUCCUUGAAGAGACCUUGAAAACGAAAAUUGCCCCUGACAACACCCCCAACUUGGGGGCAACUGAAGACCCUCACUCAGAGGGCGGAGCGAGUCCUGGAGACGACCAGAUCUACCAAAACCCCUGAACAUUUGUUGCUGGCUAUGUUAGCGGUGGUGACAUGCGCCUGUGCGGAUACCGUACUUUCAAAAAACGAGUGAAUGCCCAAAACCUCCAUCACAGAGUGCUUAUGGCAGCAGCUGUUUUGAAAAAAGAAAGGGGGAGCUGUAGGAAACAACGCCACAACGACCACUGGUGCAUGUUCGUUCAGACUCCGAGAUCUCUGAGAAAACUCGAGAUUGCAGGGUUAAAAAUAACCCGAAAGGAUCAGAGUGAAAUGCCCUUGGGAUGUGUGUGGUCUGUUCUAAAGUACGCAGCAGAAGAUGUUUUGUAGAUAGGAAGCCAGCUGUAAACAGCACACUGUGCAUUCCCUUCUUUGUUCUCUUAUCCUGUGUUAAGGUCCAAGUACAACGGUGUUUACAAUUAAUUGAUCACAGCCAGUUACAGAUUUCUUUACUCCUUCUCCACUCCCACUGCUUCACUUAACUAACCCUGUGUACGUGGAAGAAUGUGCCUUACUAAGCCCCUGCUGUAAAUCAUUAUAGAUCUAUGUCAUUGUAGAAGGUAUAUUAGACUAUGGAAAAUAAACCUCAGCGCCUCGGGCUGUUUGCUCGGGGUCCCCUGUGCCUCGCUAUA
Molecule: long non-coding RNA, 1173 nt
Organism: Leptonychotes weddellii (Weddell seal)
Lineage: Eukaryota; Metazoa; Chordata; Mammalia; Carnivora; Phocidae
Source: RefSeq, a predicted model, not a curated record